RNAcentral lists this ribosomal RNA (406 nucleotides) under uncultured bacterium. RNAcentral describes it as "partial 16S ribosomal RNA". It matches the Rfam family "Bacterial small subunit ribosomal RNA", at positions 28 to 526 of the family's 1533-position model. The record is from RNAcentral.
GACGAACGCUGGCGGCGGGCCUAAUACAUGCAAGUCGAGCGAGCGGCGGACGGGUGAGUAAUGUCUGGGAAACUGCCUGAUGGAGGGGGAUAACUACUGGAAACGGCAGCUAAUACCGCAUACCAUCAGAUGUGCCCAGAUGGGAUUCGCUGGUGGGUGGGGUAACGGCCCACCUAGGCGACGAUCCCUAGCUGGUCUGAGAGGGUGACCAGCCACACUGGAACUGAGACACGGUCCAGACUCCUACGGGAGGCAGCAGUGGGGAAUAUUGCGCAAUGGGCGCAAGCCUGAUGCAGCCAUGCCGCGUGUGUGAAGAAGGCCUUCGGGUUGUAAAGCACUUUCGGCGGGGAGGCGUUACCCGCAGAAGAAGCACCGGCUAACUCCGUGCCAGCAGCCGCGGUAAUAC